GGGCGAUUGGCUCAGUGGUAGAGCAUCUCGUUUACACCGAGGGGGCCGGCGGUUCGAGUCCGUCAUCGCCCACCA
This 75-nucleotide transfer RNA is filed under the name Holosporales bacterium. Its description in RNAcentral is "tRNA-Val". It matches the Rfam family "tRNA". Rfam says of the family: Transfer RNA (tRNA) molecules are approximately 80 nucleotides in length. Their secondary structure includes four short double-helical elements and three loops (D, anti-codon, and T loops). Lineage: Bacteria; Pseudomonadati; Pseudomonadota; Alphaproteobacteria; Holosporales. The record is from RNAcentral.